GAUUUAUUUAUUUUUUUAAAUUUCAGGACGGAACAUGUACAAAAUAGUUGACGUACACAACUGUGCACAAUUUUCAGAACCAGUUUUGGCUCGUGAGCACUACUUUCUGGCUGAAAUUACACAAAACCUUUGUCUUUUUCCUGCAUGUCCCAUGCAGAGCAGAGAUGCGGUUAAAGGUCAGACACAAUCAGAGGCCCAUUCCACAUCUCUCUAAAUAAGCUCAAGUAGAUAUCCAGUUCCCAUUCCACCCAGGAUAGUCCUCCUCCUCACUAAGAAGGUAGCAAGCUGGCAGGCAACGUACCUAGCUAAUACCUAUUGGCCCAAACAGGCUUCCAUCCUCAGCUACAACCUAAUGUUUAGCUGCCAGGAGAGGCCUCAAGGGUGGUUGAGGGGUAUGACGAAGUGUUUUAAAAAACAUAAUACAACUAAUAACUUUAAACGUUUGUUUUUUUAUACUAUCAAUAUUAUUAAAAGUUCAAAUAAAACUAAAAUAACACUUAGAUGAGCAUGCACAGACAUAUAGAUUGUGUGACAGAGGGAGGGAUUGUGAAUGUAACAAGGACGAAGGGCUGAGGCGUCAAACUCAUUCCAUGCAGGGCCUAGUGUUUUCAAACUCAACUCUAGACCUCAAAGCCAGUUCCACUGCAUUUUUCAUUGUUCCCCUCUAAUCAGGGACUGAUUUAGACCUGAGAUACCAGGUGUGUGCAAUUAAUUAUCAGGUAGAACAGAAAACCAGCAGGCUCGUAGAGUAAGAGUUGAAUAACUCUGGCCUAGUGGUUUUUGUUUUUUCCUUUCAAAUAAGACCUACACAACCAGGUGUGAGGAGUUCUUUACUAAUUAGUGACCUUAAUUCAUCAAUCAAGUACAAGGGAGAAGCGAAAACCUGGACACUCGGCCCUCCAUGGAAUGAGUUUGACACGUGGGCUGGGGUGUUGUGAGGUUUCCCGCUCUCCAACACACUAUAGACCAGUAAUGGGCAACUCCAGUCCUCGGUGGCCUGAUUGUUGUCACACUUUAGCCCAAGCUAACACACUGGACUCCAAUAAUCAACUAAUCAUGAUCUUCAGUUUAAGGCCAGGCACCACAACGCCAACCUGUUUUUCUCAGCUUCAGAAGCAUCUGCUUUUGAAUUGUGUGUAGUUAUCCUUAGAUACAUUCUCCAGACUUGCCCAGGGGGAAUUGUUGAUGUAACUUUUUAAAAUUCUCGAUAACAUUUUUUAAAAUGUUUUAUUAUACAAGUCUUCAGUAUUUUAAAGAUAAAAAGUUUAUCCAGAAUCUGCUCUGGACAAGUCCGGUCCUGGAGUGUCUUAAACUGAAACAAACGUUUAGGCAGAAUUCAUCCAGCAUCUAUAAAAAAUGAAUUUGUAUGGGAUGGGGAAAAAGUGGGACAACACUCCGGCCUCUGAGGACUGGAGUUGCCCAUCCCUGCAUCUAAUCCGACGGAGUGUCCACUUCCUGUUCCAACUACAAGUUGAGUUUCUUCAGCUGCUCGAACGUGAUGAAGAACUAAAUAGCUCUGGUUAAGGACAACAGAUGACGGUAGCCUUGAAGUAUAUGUAGUCUUGACAUUAUCUCUGCCCACACAAAAAUAAUCAUAAUACAUUUAAGACUUUACUGAAUAAAAUUAACAUUUGGUAUUAUUCAAUAUCAC
Oncorhynchus tshawytscha (Chinook salmon) is the source of this 1651-nucleotide long non-coding RNA. NCBI's taxonomy places the organism in Eukaryota, Metazoa, Chordata, Actinopteri, Salmoniformes, Salmonidae. The record is from Ensembl.